GAUGAAGAACGUAGCGAAAUGCGAUACUUGGUGUGAAUUGCAGAAUCCCGUGAACCAUCGAGUCUUUGAACGCAAGUUGCGCCCGAAGCCAUUAGGCCGAGGGCACGCCUGCCUGGGCGUCACACGUCGUUGCCCCCCCAUCUACUCCUUCGGGAUUGCGGGGGGCGGAUGAUGGCCUCCCGUGCGCCUCGUCGCGCGGUUGGCAUAAAUGCCAAGUCCUCGGCGACUCACGCCACGACAAUCGGUGGUUGCGAAACCUCGGUUGCCCGUCGUGUGCGGUCGUCGCGCAUCGAGGGCUCGAAAAAAUUGCCGGGCUCCGGCUCGGCUUUCAACGCGACCCCAGGUCAGGCGGGGUUACCCGCUGAAUUUAAGCAUAUCAAUAAGCGGAGGA
RNAcentral lists this unclassified non-coding RNA (391 nucleotides) under soil metagenome. Its description in RNAcentral is "partial contains 5.8S ribosomal RNA, internal transcribed spacer 2, and large subunit ribosomal RNA". The stretch from base 1 to 122 matches the Rfam family "5.8S ribosomal RNA", at positions 35 to 154 of the family's 154-position model. The record is from RNAcentral.